Molecule: ribosomal RNA, 253 nt
Filed under: uncultured bacterium
Lineage: Bacteria
Description: partial 16S ribosomal RNA
Rfam family: Bacterial small subunit ribosomal RNA
Source: RNAcentral
GACGAACCGAGCGAACGUUAUUCGGAAUCACUGGGCUUAAAGGGCGCGUAGGCGGGCAUCCAAGUCUGUGGUGAAAUCCAGCAGCUCAACUGUUGAACUGCCGUGGAUACUGGGUGUCUCGAGGGAGGUAGGGGCAUGCGGAACUAACGGUGGAGCGGUGAAAUGCGUAGAUAUCGGGAGGAACACCAGUGGCGAAGGCGGCGACCUGGGCUGAUACUGACGCUGAGGUGCGAAAGCGUGGGGAGCAAACAGG